This 946-nucleotide ribosomal RNA is filed under the name Acinetobacter sp. Its description in RNAcentral is "bacterial SSU rRNA". It matches the Rfam family "Bacterial small subunit ribosomal RNA", at positions 61 to 1002 of the family's 1533-position model. The record is from RNAcentral. Lineage: Bacteria; Pseudomonadati; Pseudomonadota; Gammaproteobacteria; Moraxellales; Moraxellaceae.
GUCGAGCGGGGAAAGGUAGCUUGCUACCUGACCUAGCGGCGGACGGGUGAGUAAUGCUUAGGAAUCUGCCUAUUAGUGGGGGACAACAUUCCGAAAGGAAUGCUAAUACCGCAUACGCCCUACGGGGGAAAGCAGGGGAUCUUCGGACCUUGCGCUAAUAGAUGAGCCUAAGUCAGAUUAGCUAGUUGGUGGGGUAAAGGCCUACCAAGGCGACGAUCUGUAGCGGGUCUGAGAGGAUGAUCCGCCACACUGGGACUGAGACACGGCCCAGACUCCUACGGGAGGCAGCAGUGGGGAAUAUUGGACAAUGGGCGAAAGCCUGAUCCAGCCAUGCCGCGUGUGUGAAGAAGGCCUUUUGGUUGUAAAGCACUUUAAGCGAGGAGGAGGCUACCGAGAUUAAUACUCUUGGAUAGUGGACGUUACUCGCAGAAUAAGCACCGGCUAACUCUGUGCCAGCAGCCGCGGUAAUACAGAGGGUGCGAGCGUUAAUCGGAUUUACUGGGCGUAAAGCGUGCGUAGGCGGCUUUUUAAGUCGGAUGUGAAAUCCCUGAGCUUAACUUAGGAAUUGCAUUCGAUACUGGGAAGCUAGAGUAUGGGAGAGGAUGGUAGAAUUCCAGGUGUAGCGGUGAAAUGCGUAGAGAUCUGGAGGAAUACCGAUGGCGAAGGCAGCCAUCUGGCCUAAUACUGACGCUGAGGUACGAAAGCAUGGGGAGCAAACAGGAUUAGAUACCCUGGUAGUCCAUGCCGUAAACGAUGUCUACUAGCCGUUGGGGCCUUUGAGGCUUUAGUGGCGCAGCUAACGCGAUAAGUAGACCGCCUGGGGAGUACGGUCGCAAGACUAAAACUCAAAUGAAUUGACGGGGGCCCGCACAAGCGGUGGAGCAUGUGGUUUAAUUCGAUGCAACGCGAAAACCUUACCUGGUCUUGACAUAGUAAGAACUUUCCA